GGGGAGCGUUCUGUAAGCCUGCGAAGGUGGCCUGUGAGGGUUGCUGGAGGUAUCAGAAGUGCGAAUGCUGACAUAAGUAACGAUAAAGCGGGUGAAAAGCCCGCUCGCCGGAAGACCAAGGGUUCCUGUCCAACGUUAAUCGGGGCAGGGUGAGUCGACCCCUAAGGCGAGGCCGAAAGGCGUAGUCGAUGGGAAACGGGUUAAUAUUCCCGUACUUGGUGUUACUGCGAAGGGGGGACGGAGAAGGCUAUGUUGGCCGGGCGACGGUUGUCCCGGUUUAAGCGUGUAGGUGUGUGUUCCAGGUAAAUCCGGUUCACUUUAACACUGAGGCGUGAUGACGAGGCACUACGGUGCUGAAGCAACAAAUGCCCUGCUUCCAGGAAAAGCCUCUAAGCAUCAGGUAACAUCAAAUCGUACCCCAAACCGACACAGGUGGUCAGGUAGAGAAUACCAAGGCGCUUGAGAGAACUCGGGUGAAGGAACUAGGCAAAAUGGUGCCGUAACUUCGGGAGAAGGCACGCUGACACGUAGGUGAAGUGAUUUACUCAUGGAGCUGAAGUCAGUCGAAGAUACCAGCUGGCUGCAACUGUUUAUUAAAAACACAGCACUGUGCAAACACGAAAGUGGACGUAUACGGUGUGACGCCUGCCCGGUGCCGGAAGGUUAAUUGAUGGGGUCAGCGCAAGCGAAGCUCCUGAUCGAAGCCCCGGUAAACGGCGGCCGUAACUAUAACGGUCCUAAGGUAGCGAAAUUCCUUGUCGGGUAAGUUCCGACCUGCACGAAUGGCGUAAUGAUGGCCAGGCUGUCUCCACCCGAGACUCAGUGAAAUUGAACUCGCUGUGAAGAUGCAGUGUACCCGCGGCAAGACGGAAAGACCCCGUGAACCUUUACUAUAGCUUGACACUGAACAUUGAGCCUUGAUGUGUAGGAUAGGUGGGAGGCUUUGAAGUGUGGACGCCAGUCUGCAUGGAGCCGGCCUUGAAAUACCACCCUUUAAUGUUUGAUGUUCUAACGUGGACCCGUGAUCCGGGUUGCGGACAGUGUCUGGUGGGUAGUUUGACUGGGGCGGUCUCCUCCUAAAGAGUAACGGAGGAGCACGAAGGUUGGCUAAUCCUGGUCGGACAUCAGGAGGUUAGUGCAAUGGCAUAAGCCAGCUUGACUGCGAGCGUGACGGCGCGAGCAGGUGCGAAAGCAGGUCAUAGUGAUCCGGUGGUUCUGAAUGGAAGGGCCAUCGCUCAACGGAUAAAAGGUACUCCGGGGAUAACAGGCUGAUACCGCCCAAGAGUUCAUAUCGACGGCGGUGUUUGGCACCUCGAUGUCGGCUCAUCACAUCCUGGGGCUGAAGUAGGUCCCAAGGGUAUGGCUGUUCGCCAUUUAAAGUGGUACGCGAGCUGGGUUUAGAACGUCGUGAGACAGUUCGGUCCCUAUCUGCCGUGGGCGCUGGAGAACUGAGGGGGGCUGCUCCUAGUACGAGAGGACCGGAGUGGACGCAUCACUGGUGUUCGGGUUGUCAUGCCAAUGGCACUGCCCGGUAGCUAAAUGCGGAAGAGAUAAGUGCUGAAAGCAUCUAAGCACGAAACUUGCCCCGAGAUGAGUUCUCCCUGAGACUUUAGGUCUCCUGAAGGAACGUUGAAGACGACGACGUUGAUAGGCCGGGUGUGUAAGCGCAGCGAUGCGUUGAGCUAACCGGUACUAAUGAACCGUGAGGCUUAACCUUACA
This 1720-nucleotide ribosomal RNA is filed under the name Salmonella enterica. RNAcentral's name for it is "partial 23S ribosomal RNA". It matches the Rfam family "Bacterial large subunit ribosomal RNA", at positions 1231 to 2925 of the family's 2925-position model. Lineage: Bacteria; Pseudomonadati; Pseudomonadota; Gammaproteobacteria; Enterobacterales; Enterobacteriaceae. The record is from RNAcentral.